UUCACAGCGGCGCCACUGUUCACGCCGCCACUGUUCACGGGCAGCGCCACUGUUCACGGCCAGCCCAUUUUUGCCCCCUUCUACACAAUUAAUUGGAGAGAUUUGAAGAUCAAGAGGAGGAAAAAGAUGGAGCUCAUGGUAGCCAUGGCAACUCACGGCCAUGGCUUUCUUGAAGACAUUUCAUGGUGAAAAAUUAGAGCUUGUCUCUAAGACCUUGGGGAGCCCGAGGCGUAGAUUUGGAUUAGCUUUAGAUUGGCUAUCUUGGAAGUGCGUUCGAGGUACCGACGACAGGUUUGCUGAUCCGUCCGUCUAGGAUAUCUUUUCUGCCAUUUGGAGCGCUCUUUUAUUCAGAGCCCAUCUUUUGGUACAGUCUGUCACUACUGUAUUUAUAUAUUCUCGUUCAUGGGUACGGCGGGGCCCUGUCCCAUCAUAUGAUUCUGUCGGUCUGUUUAGAGGUCUGUAGACAUGUUUGUGGGUUGGGGUCUUUCUGUACGGAUGCGUGUAUAUGUUGUGUUUGGGCGAUCCCAUUCGCCGCGGCGGCCGGUCCGCAUAUGUGUAAAUGUUGCUUUGUUGGCCCUGGGCGGUCAUUGUUGGUAUUA
This is a long non-coding RNA of Lycium barbarum (goji berry), 599 nucleotides long. RefSeq lists it as uncharacterized. The record is from RefSeq and is a predicted model, not a curated record. Lineage: Eukaryota; Viridiplantae; Streptophyta; Magnoliopsida; Solanales; Solanaceae. The transcript is spliced from 3 exons.